CCUACGGGGUGCAGCAGUGAGGAAUAUUGGUCAAUGGACGAGAGUCUGAACCAGCCAAGUAGCGUGAAGGAUGACUGCCCUAUGGGUUGUAAACUUCUUUUAUAUGGGAAUAAAAUGUUCCACGUGUGGGAUUUUGUAUGUACCAUAUGAAUAAGGAUCGGCUAACUCCGUGCCAGCAGCCGCGGUAAUACGGAGGAUCCGAGCGUUAUCCGGAUUUAUUGGGUUUAAAGGGAGCGUAGGUGGAUUGUUAAGUCAGUUGUGAAAGUUUGCGGCUCAACCGUAAAAUUGCAGUUGAAACUGGCAGUCUUGAGUACAGUAGAGGUGGGCGGAAUUCGUGGUGUAGCGGUGAAAUGCUUAGAUAUCACGAAGAACUCCGAUUGCGAAGGCAGUUCACUUGACUGCAACUGACACUGAGGCUCGAAAGUGUGGGUAUCAAACAGGAUUAGAUACCCCUGUAGUC
Molecule: ribosomal RNA, 460 nt
Filed under: uncultured bacterium
Lineage: Bacteria
Description: partial 16S ribosomal RNA
Rfam family: Bacterial small subunit ribosomal RNA
Source: RNAcentral